GUUCUUUAAUCGAUUCUACCGCCAAACAAAAUAAUCGUAUACCAAUGAAUGUGGACGCUAGAAGCUAGAACUUGUAUGCCAUCGAUGCUUACAUAUAUUUGUAUCUAUAAAAGUGUUUGGGUGCGUGCAUAUGUGUGAGGCAGGGUGCUGCAGCCCAACUACGCGGUUGAGUUAGGUGGCUGCAACUGGGACAGUGAUCUUCACACGGCUGCAACCGGCGAAAUCAAUACAAUUGUUUUUGGCCUGCUUACCAACAGAUGUUUCUUCGGACUGAGUAGUCAAUUGAAAAGUAAAGUCUUGAUGAACCAAAACCAAACUCUUCAAGUCGCUCAUUAUUCCCGUCCAGCUACUAGUAUAUGGUGCAGAAACGUGGACGAUGUCGAUAUCCGAUAAGACGGCCCUAGAAGUUUUCCAGAGAAAUGUUUUGCAGUAAAUAUGCGGGCGAAUACCGCAGACGGUAGAACAAUGAGCUGUAUACGACGACAUAGAUAUAGUUCAGCGAACAAAACAACAGCGGCUCGGUCAUGUCGUCCAAAUGGACGAAAGCACUCCAGCUUUGAAGAAGAAGAAAGAGGAAAUCCACUCCGGUAGAAAGACCAGGUGAAGAGCGAUAUGGUUUCACUGGGAUUUCCAAUUGGCGCCAAACUGCGAGUAGAAGAAACGAAUAGUGCGCUAUUGUUGAUUCGGCUAUAAUCACGUAAGCUACGUCAAUGUAGCAAUAUUAGUAGUAAUUUAUAUGAAGAACUAUAUAAAAAAUAUAUGCAGAAAAAAUUUAAUAGUGAUCGGAUCAUUUGUCUCCAAGUAAUCACACGAGCAAAUAUGAAAAAUGUAGUUAUAAGAAAAACACUUUUAUAGAUAAACUGGUGGAGUUGAUUGAACUGAGCGGCUACACUUUAGAAGUCUACUAUUUGAGAUAUCGAUUUAAAAUUUUGUUAUGUUAGUUUUGAAAGUAUAACCUUAUGAAUAUAUAUUUUUUUUUAAUUUCACACUAGAUGUCCCCUUAUUUUGAGUAUUAUAGUUUAGUGGACCAUGAACUCACCGCAUUUCGUUUAAGAACAGGUAACAGUUGAUCAAGAAUUCUAUAAGAAAGUUUUCUUAAACCUUGGGAUUAACUAUUAGUCAAAUAAUUACAGCAAUAAAAAGGUCCAGAAUAUCGAAGGAUGUGAGUAAGCAUGAAAUUCUAGAGGAAUCUUUACAGCUGGAAAAGCUAAUAAUUUGCAACAGUUUCAAAUGCAUUAUAGUCAAUAUUCAAACCGAUUUGAGCUGCGAGUUCAUGUGCUUUAAGGGCGUAUUCUAGACAUGAAUUUUUGGUAAUUUUUAAAGUGUCGUAAAAAACAGGUAAUCAAUAUUUUUUCUAUCGAUUUUUUAUCAAUAAUUUAUUAAUGUUACAAGAGUAAAAAAAUAAAAAUAAAUAAAUAAAAUUUUAAAUUUAAAAAACUGGCAGCUGAUGAAGUGGGGGUGUCUCAAAAAAUUGGCACAUAAGCAUACCCAUGUUUUCAGCCCUUCUAGCGAUCUGUUAUGAGAAAAUAAAUUAUCAAUCUGCAAUGAUGUCGCGAUUGUAUGAACUAGCGAUAAGUAAAAAAACUGUUUGACAAAAUUGCGACUGUUUGGAAAAACAC
Molecule: non-coding RNA, 1619 nt
Organism: Bactrocera oleae (olive fruit fly)
Lineage: Eukaryota; Metazoa; Arthropoda; Insecta; Diptera; Tephritidae
Source: RefSeq, a predicted model, not a curated record